UGAGAUGGUGCUGACUGCUGAAAUAAACUACUCAAGAGCUAUAAGAAAAAUGAGAACUCAAGGCUAUGUCAUAACAAGUAUUCAAAAUGAUUUUCAUAUUCAGGAGAUUUAAGGUGUUAAAACGAUACCGAUCUUGUGAACUUUUCCCAAGUCUCUACAAACCAACCUCAAAUUAUUCUAUAGCCUAAAACUUUCAACAAAAAUGCAAUUUUUUUUAGAAAGAAAACAAAAACAAAACAAAACAAAGAACAAAAACAAAGAAAAUAAAGUAUUCUCUCCCCCACACUUAAAAUAUGCAUUGUCCUCAAUGAAAGAAACAAACAUAAAAUAAGAGAGAGAAGAG
RNAcentral lists this long non-coding RNA (343 nucleotides) under Lathyrus oleraceus (garden pea). RNAcentral describes it as "Pisum sativum (pea) long non-coding RNA (PSAT_LNC029415)". Lineage: Eukaryota; Viridiplantae; Streptophyta; Magnoliopsida; Fabales; Fabaceae. The record is from RNAcentral.